RNAcentral lists this ribosomal RNA (454 nucleotides) under uncultured bacterium. RNAcentral describes it as "partial 16S ribosomal RNA". It matches the Rfam family "Bacterial small subunit ribosomal RNA", at positions 341 to 792 of the family's 1533-position model. The record is from RNAcentral.
ACGGGAGGCAGCAGUGAGGAAUAUUGGUCAAUGGGCGGAAGCCUGAACCAGCCAUGCCGCGUGAAGGAAGACGGCCCUAUGGGUUGUAAACUUCUUUUGUACGAGAGCAAUAAGGGCCACGUGUGGUCCGAUGAGAGUAUCGUACGAAUAAGCAUCGGCUAACUCCGUGCCAGCAGCCGCGGUAAUACGGAGGAUGCGAGCGUUAUCCGGAUUUAUUGGGUUUAAAGGGUGCGUAGGCGGUUUGGUAAGUCAGCGGUGAAAUGCAUAUGCUUAACAUAUGACGUGCCGUUGAAACUGCUGGGCUUGAAUGCGGAUGCCGUGGGAGGAAUGUGUGGUGUAGCGGUGAAAUGCAUAGAUAUCACACAGAACACCGAUUGCGAAGGCAUCUCACGAAUCCGCGAUUGACGCUGAGGCACGAAAGUGUGGGGAUCAAACAGGAUUAGAUACCCUGGUA